AUUGAACGCUGGCGGCAGGCCUAACACAUGCAAGUCGAGCGGAUGAAGGGAGCUUGCUCCUGGAUUCAGCGGCGGACGGGUGAGUAAUGCCUAGGAAUCUGCCUGGUAGUGGGGGAUAACGUCCGGAAACGGGCGCUAAUACCGCAUACGUCCUGAGGGAGAAAGUGGGGGAUCUUCGGACCUCACGCUAUCAGAUGAGCCUAGGUCGGAUUAGCUAGUUGGUGGGGUAAAGGCCUACCAAGGCGACGAUCCGUAACUGGUCUGAGAGGAUGAUCAGUCACACGGGAACUGAGACACGGUCCAGACUCCUACGGGAGGCAGCAGUGGGGAAUAUUGGACAAUGGGCGAAAGCCUGAUCCAGCCAUGCCGCGUGUGUGAAGAAGGUCUUCGGAUUGUAAAGCACUUUAAGUUGGGAGGAAGGGCAGUAAGUUAAUACCUUGCUGUUUUGACGUUACCAUCAGAAUAAGCACCGGCUAACUUCGUG
This 484-nucleotide ribosomal RNA is filed under the name uncultured bacterium. Its description in RNAcentral is "partial 16S ribosomal RNA". It matches the Rfam family "Bacterial small subunit ribosomal RNA", at positions 30 to 507 of the family's 1533-position model. The record is from RNAcentral.